GAUGAACGCUGGCGGCGUGCCUAAUACAUGCAAGUCGAGCGAACAGAUGAGGAGCUUGCUCCUCUGACGUUAGCGGCGGACGGGUGAGUAACACGUGGAUAACCUACCUAUAAGACUGGGAUAACUUCGGGAAACCGGAGCUAAUACCGGAUAAUAUAUUGAACCGCAUGGUUCAAUAGUGAAAGACGGUUUUGCUGUCACUUAUAGAUGGAUCCGCGCCGCAUUAGCUAGUUGGUAAGGUAACGGCUUACCAAGGCAACUAUGCGUAGCCGACCUGAGAGGGUGAUCGGCCACACUGGAACUGAGACACGGUCCAGACUCCUACGGGAGGCAGCAGUAGGGAAUCUUCCGCAAUGGGCGAAAGCCUGACGGAGCAACGCCGCGUGAGUGAUGAAGGUCUUCGGAUCGUAAAACUCUGUUAUUAGGGAAGAACAAAUGUGUAAGUAACUAUGCACGUCUUGACGGUACCUAAUCAGAAAGCAACGGCUAACUACGUG
This 497-nucleotide ribosomal RNA is filed under the name uncultured bacterium. RNAcentral's name for it is "partial 16S ribosomal RNA". It matches the Rfam family "Bacterial small subunit ribosomal RNA", at positions 28 to 507 of the family's 1533-position model. The record is from RNAcentral.